Molecule: unclassified non-coding RNA, 439 nt
Filed under: uncultured Thelephoraceae
Lineage: Eukaryota; Fungi; Basidiomycota; Agaricomycetes; Thelephorales; Thelephoraceae
Description: sequence contains ITS2
Rfam family: 5.8S ribosomal RNA (bases 1-155)
Source: RNAcentral
AACUGUUGACAAUGGAUCUCUUGGCUCUCGCAUCGAUGAAGAACGCAGCGAAAUGCGAUAAGUAAUGUGAAUUGCAGAAUUCAGUGAAUCAUCGAAUCUUUGAACUCACCUUGCGCCCUUUGGCUAUUCUGAAGGGCAUGCCUGUUUGAGCAUCAUAAGCAUCUCAACUCUCACGGUUUACUGUGAGGAGGUUGGACUUUGGGGGUCUUGUUGGCUUGUGUUCAGCUCCCCUCAAAUCUAUCAGCUUCCCAGUGUUUGGCAGCAUCACAGGUGUGAUAAAUAUCUACGCUUGUGGUUCUUUGCCAGGUCUGUCCUCUCCUUGCAGAGGGCUCACUGGAGCUCAUAGAUGUCUCUCCUUGGUGGAGACAGCUGUUUGAAGUUUGGUCUCAAAUCAGGUAGGAUUACCCGCUGAAUUUAAGCAUAUCAAUAAGCGGAGGCU